RNAcentral lists this unclassified non-coding RNA (109 nucleotides) under soil metagenome. RNAcentral's name for it is "partial internal transcribed spacer 1". The record is from RNAcentral.
UUGAUUGGUCGAAAGACCUUAUCAGAUUUUACCACCUCUGUGAACCGUUGACCUCCGGGUUAAUAAUCAAACAUCAGUGUAACGAACGUAAGAGUAUCUUAAUUAAACA